This 385-nucleotide ribosomal RNA is filed under the name uncultured bacterium. RNAcentral's name for it is "bacterial SSU rRNA". It matches the Rfam family "Bacterial small subunit ribosomal RNA", at positions 29 to 440 of the family's 1533-position model. The record is from RNAcentral.
AAUGAACGCUGGCGGCAGGCCUAACACAUGCAAGUCGAGCGGGUAUCUUCGGAUACUAGCGGCGGACGGGUGAGUAACGCGUGGGAACGUACCUUUUGCUUCGGAAUAGCCUCGGGAAACUGGGAGUAAUACCGAAUGUGCCCUACGGGGGAAAGAUUUAUCGGCAAAAGAUCGGCCCGCGUUGGAUUAGGUAGUUGGUGGGUAAUGGCCUACCAAGCCGACGAUCCAUAGCUGGUUUGAGAGGAUGAUCAGCCACACUGGGACUGAGACACGGCCCAGACUCCUACGGGAGGCAGCAGUGGGGAAUCUUAGACAAUGGGCGCAAGCCUGAUCUAGCCAUGCCGCGUGAUCGAUGAAGGCCUUAGGGUUGUAAAGAUCUUUCGUG